Molecule: ribosomal RNA, 372 nt
Filed under: Anguilla mossambica (African longfin eel)
Lineage: Eukaryota; Metazoa; Chordata; Actinopteri; Anguilliformes; Anguillidae
Description: partial ribosomal RNA
Rfam family: Bacterial small subunit ribosomal RNA
Source: RNAcentral
GAUGACAACAUACAAAUAUCAUCCGCCAGGGUACUACGAGCGUUAGCUUAAAACCCAAAGGACUUGGCGGUGCUCAAACCCACCUAGAGGAGCCUGUUCUAUAACCGUAAAUCAACGUUAAACCUCACCAUCUCUUGCCUAAACCGCCUAUAUACCGCCGUCGCCAGCUUGCCUCUUGAGAGAUCAAAAUCAAGCCUAAUGGGUAUUGCCCAAAACGUCAGGUCGAGGUGUAGCGAAUGAGAUGGAAUGAAAUGGGCUACAUUUUCUGAUACAGAAAAAUACGAAAAGUGCCAUGAAAUUAGCACGAAGGAAGGUGGAUUUAGCAGUAAAAAGGAGGCAGAGAGUUCUUUUGAAACAGGCACCAAGGCUCGU